Molecule: ribosomal RNA, 253 nt
Filed under: uncultured bacterium
Lineage: Bacteria
Description: partial 16S ribosomal RNA
Rfam family: Bacterial small subunit ribosomal RNA
Source: RNAcentral
UACGUAGGUGGCAAGCGUUGUCCGGAUUUACUGGGCGUAAAGAGCGCGCAGGCGGUCGUUCAAGUCGCGUGUGAAAGCCCCCGGCUCAACUGGGGAGGGUCACGCGAUACUGAUCGACUCGAAGGCAGGAGAGGGUAGUGGAAUUCCCGGUGUAGUGGUGAAAUGCGCAGAUAUCAGGAGGAACACCGGUGGCGAAGGCGGCUGCCUGGCCUAACACUGACGCUGAGGUGCGAAAGCGUGGGGAGCGAACGGG